Molecule: ribosomal RNA, 269 nt
Filed under: uncultured prokaryote
Description: partial 16S ribosomal RNA
Rfam family: Bacterial small subunit ribosomal RNA
Source: RNAcentral
UACGGAGGUUGCAAGCGUUGUUCGGAAUGACUGGGCGUAAAGGGAGCGCAGGCGGCCAAGUCAGUCUGAAGUGAAAGCCCGGGGCUUAACCCCGGAAUAGCUUUGGAUACUGCCUGGCUUGAGUGUGCGAUAGGAAAGCGGAAUUCCAGGUGUAGCGGUGAAAUGCGUAGAUAUCUGGAGGAACACCGGUGGCGAAAGCGGCUUUCUGGCGCAUAACUGACGCUGAGGCUCGAAAGCGUGGGGAGCGAACGGGAUUAGAUACCCCUGUA